GUUUUUUAAAGAACGUUAUUAUAUGGAGCAAAAACUUCCUUCCCUAGAAUUUUCUCUCAGUGCUUAGAACUCACCUUUUGAAAUGGCCCCAGAACCGAGUUCAAGUUCUCUUCCCCUUGUCUUUCAGAAAGCUGAAGAUGGCUGUGGUGUCUUACUCCACCAGGACUCCCCUUUCCAGGUAAAACAUCUUCCACACUUUAAACAGCCAUAAAGCCUAGUGUGAUGGCGCACACCUGUAAUCCUAGCACUCGGGAGCCAGGAGGAUCACCAUGAGUCCGAGGCCAAUCUAGACCACAUGAAGAAACACAUCUAAAACAUUGAGCUGAGGCUGGGCCACCAAAGCAGGGCAAAGGCCCCUGCUCUCCAUGCCAAGAUGAAGCCACAGGGCUCCUCUGGAUCUGAUCUGGCUCGGCCGUGUCCACAGCAUGCAGAGUUACAGUUAAAGUCUUGGCAGUGCCAAUACACACAGGGACAGCCAUGGGGCAGCUAAGCCGUCCUGACUCUGUCCCAGAGCAAGAGUGUGUGCGGGCUAUGGUACAAGAAUUGCCUGCUAAACUGAAGCUCCUGCAUUGUUUGUUUCCCCAAGAGGGGGUAAAGAAAUCACAAAACAAACAACCAAAAAUAUGGAUGGUUUGUGUUUGUUUUUAAUGCUCUUUGGACUGUCUAUAGAAUGAAAAUAGGUACACCUAAUAAAUAUUUUGUCAUUUAUAGUGUGGGGAAUUAGGUGAAUAAAGAGAUAGACAGAUAGAUGGAUAGGACAUUAUGAGCUCUGUGGUUUUAUUGCAUAUUUUGAGUCUCAGGGAAGUGUUUGGGGCUUGGCAGCAUAAGCGCACAGGUGCUGACAGGUGAUUCCAGGAGUGACUGAGAACCACAGGUCCUGUGGUGAGGUGAGUCUCUCCACUGAAUGGCAUGACCAAGUGCCCAUGGAUGCCUAUGAC
RNAcentral lists this long non-coding RNA (938 nucleotides) under Heterocephalus glaber (naked mole-rat). Its description in RNAcentral is "lncRNA (ENSHGLG00100050213.1)". The record is from RNAcentral. Lineage: Eukaryota; Metazoa; Chordata; Mammalia; Rodentia; Bathyergidae.